RNAcentral lists this ribosomal RNA (497 nucleotides) under uncultured bacterium. RNAcentral's name for it is "partial 16S ribosomal RNA". It matches the Rfam family "Bacterial small subunit ribosomal RNA", at positions 28 to 507 of the family's 1533-position model. The record is from RNAcentral.
GAUGAACGCUGGCGGCGUGCCUAAUACAUGCAAGUCGAGCGAACAGACGAGGAGCUUGCUCCUCUGACGUUAGCGGCUGACGGGUGAGUAACACGUGGAUAACCUACCUAUAAUACUGGGAUAACUUCGGGAAACCGGAGCUAAUACCGGAUAAUAUAUUGAACCGCAUGGUUCAAUAGUGAAAGACGGUUUUGCUGUCACUUAUAGAUGGAUCCGCGCCGCAUUAGCUAGUUGGUAAGGUAACGGCUUACCAAGGCGACGAUGCGUAGCCGACCUGAGAGGGUGAUCGGCCACACUGGAACUGAGACACGGUCCAGACUCCUACGGGAGGCAGCAGUAGGGAAUAUUCCGCAAUGGGCGAAAGCUUGACGGAGCAACGCCGCGUGAGUGAUGAAGGUCUUCGGAUCGUAAAACUCUGUUAUUAGGGAAGAAAAAAUGUGUAAGUAACUAUGCACGUCUUGACGGUACCUAAUCAGAAAGCCACGGCUAACUACGUG